This 27-nucleotide small RNA is filed under the name Bombyx mori (domestic silkworm). Its description in RNAcentral is "ovarian small RNA-11192". The record is from RNAcentral. Lineage: Eukaryota; Metazoa; Arthropoda; Insecta; Lepidoptera; Bombycidae.
ACCAAAAGGAAGCAACAUUCGAUGGAA